AGUGAGCAUUAAUUCUUUAGUUCUCAAAGCAAACUACACAAAUGAAUGCUGCAUAUUCUAUUGUAAAUUUAACCCUUUCCAUGCUAUUCAAAACUAAGCCCUGUUGAUGCAUUUCAGUAACUUAGCAUUUAGAAAUCGCCUCUUGUUGUGCCCAUAAACCCAACACUCUGCUCCAAUUAGAUUCCUUUUUUUUUUAAAUGGUUUGGUGUUUGAUAGAAACCAAAGAAGAAAAAAAAAAAAAAACUGUGCUGAGUGUUAAAAUCAGUGCAUAAUUAAGCGUUAAAAAGCAGAAGCCAGGUUUGUUAUUUACUACUGCACAACUACAAAACAGCAAAGCACCUGCACUAUUUCAGUUGACAAUGUAGAAUGGGAAAAAAAAGGUCUGUUGAGGCUUCUAAGCUUUUACAAAUACUUUGUGAGGAUGUAAGGCUGUGCACGCACACAAAGACUCACAGAUCUGUAUAAAGAUGUUGGGAGUGUACUGAAAACACAACAGAAAACUCAUGUGUAACGUGCAAUUUGAACUCAUCUUUUGCAGAUAUGAAUGCAAGAUCCUGUGACGUGACAGAAAAAUCAGGUUUUCAUAUUUCCCAUUCAGCAUACACUAAGUAUGUAGCAUACAGUGGGGUACAGCCUUGGCAAGAGCCUCAGCAACAUGAGGAGCCUUUUAUCUGCAAAUAAAAUGAUGCUUCCACUGCCAACAGAGGAAAAUACAGAAGUGUGUCUUCUCCAUGCAUUGCUUGCCGAAGUUGCGCAGGACCAGGACAGGAGGGGUGAACAGCUCCAGGCAUAUGGGGCCCAACAGCAUCCCUCUGAAGGUGGAGAGAGAAGAACUGAAGUGUUUGACUCAGAGCAGUGCUCUGUUCUCAGGAGACAACGGGAGCCAAGGAAAAGAAGCAGCAAGAGGACUUCUCUGAUGACAGUUUGAUGGUCGCUGUAACUUGCUACAAGUUAGGAGAGAGCUGGCUGGUGGACUUGAAGCGGGAGAAGAUCAAGAAGAAGAGUCCUGAUGUUAUGGAGAUGGGCAGUGCUGCACCAGUGGCAGGGUUUCUCCAGUAUGGCAUUUGUUGGGGUUUGUGGAUCUGCUCUUCUGACAAGACUCAGUAAGGCUCAGAGACUGUUUGAAGCAGUCUCUUGCAGUAGCUAUUGCAGAGGGGUACUUCAUUGCUGCUGCUGAUACUGAGGUAACCUCUGGGUCAGGAAAUGGGGUCCUCCUGUCCCAUCCUGCCACUAGCUCAUGACUGUUUUGCUGCGGUGUGUUUAGGUAACAGAUUGUCAGCGUGUCCCGGCAGUGCUCCUGGUAAGCAUGAAGAGAAAUCUGCCCACACAUAGCCCACAGCUGCAAGGCUGUAACACAAAUCUGAGUCAGGUUAAGAGCACGAGAAAAUGAUGUGGAAAAUAAAUACAUCACUCAGGUAAGAAAUGACUUAAUA
RNAcentral lists this long non-coding RNA (1433 nucleotides) under Chrysolophus pictus (golden pheasant). RNAcentral describes it as "lncRNA (ENSCPIG00010008548.1)". The record is from RNAcentral. Lineage: Eukaryota; Metazoa; Chordata; Aves; Galliformes; Phasianidae.